AAAAAAGUAGCUCAGUUGGUUAGAGCGUGUGGCUGUUAACCACAAUGUCAAAGGUUCAAGUCCUUCUUUUA
This 71-nucleotide transfer RNA is filed under the name Jatropha curcas. It matches the Rfam family "tRNA". Rfam says of the family: Transfer RNA (tRNA) molecules are approximately 80 nucleotides in length. Lineage: Eukaryota; Viridiplantae; Streptophyta; Magnoliopsida; Malpighiales; Euphorbiaceae. The record is from Rfam by way of RNAcentral.